This 72-nucleotide transfer RNA is filed under the name Camelus bactrianus (Bactrian camel). It matches the Rfam family "tRNA". From Rfam's summary of the family: Transfer RNA (tRNA) molecules are approximately 80 nucleotides in length. Their secondary structure includes four short double-helical elements and three loops (D, anti-codon, and T loops). The record is from Rfam by way of RNAcentral. Lineage: Eukaryota; Metazoa; Chordata; Mammalia; Artiodactyla; Camelidae. RNAcentral also lists the same sequence under 2 other names.
GAGGGUGUAGCUCAGUGGGAUAGCGCAUGCUCAGCAUGCACGAGGUCCUGGGUUCUAUCCCCAGUGCCCCCA